This 350-nucleotide ribosomal RNA is filed under the name uncultured bacterium. RNAcentral's name for it is "partial 16S ribosomal RNA". It matches the Rfam family "Bacterial small subunit ribosomal RNA", at positions 338 to 680 of the family's 1533-position model. The record is from RNAcentral.
CCUACGGGUGGCAGCAGUGGGGAAUGGUGCGCAAUGCUCGUAAGAGUGACGCAGCGACGCCGCGUGAAUGACGAAGGCCUUCGGGUCGUAAAGUUCUUUCGACAGGGAAGAAAAUGCAUAUAAGGAACUGUGUAGGUAUUGACGGUACCGGGAGAAGCAGCCCCGGCAAACUCCGUGCCAGCAGCCGCGGUAAUACGGAGGGGGCGAGCGUUGUUCGGAGCGACUGGGCGGAAAGAGCACGUAGGCGGUGUUGUAAGUCAUUAGUCAAAGACUAGAGCUCAACUUUAGUAAGGCUAGUGCUACUCUCAUACUAGCGUAUCAGAGAGGCUUGCAGACUUCCUGGUGUAGCG